Molecule: ribosomal RNA, 497 nt
Filed under: uncultured bacterium
Lineage: Bacteria
Description: partial 16S ribosomal RNA
Rfam family: Bacterial small subunit ribosomal RNA
Source: RNAcentral
GAUGAACGCUGGCGGCGUGCCUAAUACAUGCAAGUCGAGCGAACAGACGAGGAUUUUGCUCCUCGGACGUUAGCGGCGGACGGGUGAGUAACACGUGUAUAAUCUACCUAAAAGACUGGGAUCUCUUCGGGACACCGGAGCUAAUACCGGAUAAUAUCUUGAACCGUAGGGUUGAAUAGUGAAAGACGGUUGUGCGGGCACGUAUCGAGGGAUCCCCGCCGCAUUAGCUAGUUGGUCAGGUAAAGGCUUACUACGGCAACGAUGCGUUACCGACCUGAUGGAGUGGUCGCCCACACUGGAACUGAACCACGGUCAAGACUCCUGCGGUACGCAGCAGUAUGCAAUCUUACGCAAUAGUCGAAAGCAUGGCGGAGCAACCCCGCGUGUGUGAUGACAGUCUUCGGAUCGUAAAGAUCUGUUAUUAGUGAAAAACAACUGUGUAAUUAACUAUGCAGUUAGUGACGGUAACUAAUCAGAAAGCCACGGCUAACUACGUG